AUUGAACGCUGGCGGCAUGCCUUACACAUGCAAGUCGAACGGUAACAGGUCUUCGGAUGCUGACGAGUGGCGAACGGGUGAGUAAUACAUCGGAACGUGCCCGAGAGUGGGGGAUAACGAGGCGAAAGCUUUGCUAAUACCGCCUACGAUCUCAGGAUGAAAGCAGGGGACCGCAAGGCCUUGCGCUCACGGAGCGGCCGAUGGCAGAUUAGGUAGUUGGUGGGAUAAAAGCUUACCAAGCCGACGAUCUGUAGCUGGUCUGAGAGGACGACCAGCCACACUGGGACUGAGACGCGGCCCAGACUCCUACGGGAGGCAGCAGUGGGGAAUUUUGGACAAUGGGCGCAAGCCUGAUCCAGCCAUGCCGCGUGCAGGAUGAAGGCCUUCGGGUUGUAAACUGCUUUUGUACGGAACGAAAAGACUCCUUCUAAUAAAGGGGGUCCAUGACGGUACCGUAAGAAUAAGCACCGGCUAACUACGUGCCAGCCGCCGCCAUAA
RNAcentral lists this ribosomal RNA (498 nucleotides) under uncultured bacterium. RNAcentral's name for it is "partial 16S ribosomal RNA". It matches the Rfam family "Bacterial small subunit ribosomal RNA", at positions 30 to 523 of the family's 1533-position model. The record is from RNAcentral.